UCGGCGCGCCCGUGGACGAGGACGAGGACGAGGAGCUGCCGCCCGGCGCGGUCGUCGAGGAGUGCGCCAUAUGCUACAAGGAGUACCUGGUCGGCGGAGCAACGUCCGUGAAGCUGGCGUGCAGCCACACGUUCCACCGCAAGUGCCUGGACCGCUGGACGGCCGUGAACCGGACGUGCCCCUACUGCCGGGCGCCGGUGCCGGUGGAGCAAGACUACUGGGACGACGAGGAUGCUUGCGACGACGAGGAGUCGGAGUCUGGUGACAUCCCUAGCGAGGAGGGCGACGACGAGGAGUCGGAGUCUGAUGACAUCCCCAGCGAGGAGGGCGACGACGAGGAGUCCGAGUAUGAUGACAUCCCCAGCGAGGAGGGCGAUGACUGGGAGUCGGAGUAUGAAGACGUCCCCAACGAGGAGGAUCACGGCUCCUCGCCGGCGUCCGACGGCAGUAGCCAGGAAGUCACCGCGGCCUCUCCGGAGUUUGUUAGUUCUGUCAGGGAUCUGUCCCUGAGCUGUCUAAGAUUAGAUUAGAUUAGAUUAGAUUAGGAAGUGUUAGUCCGGCUAGGAUCUGGAUAGUUUGAUUAGAUUCAGUUGAUGGUUUAUUGGGUAUAUAUAUACCCACGUUAGCUUCCUGUAAUCAGAUUGGAACAAGAAAGCUUAGUUAUAUUUC
Molecule: unclassified non-coding RNA, 669 nt
Filed under: Zea mays
Lineage: Eukaryota; Viridiplantae; Streptophyta; Magnoliopsida; Poales; Poaceae
Description: misc RNA Zm00001eb246900
Source: RNAcentral